RNAcentral lists this ribosomal RNA (427 nucleotides) under uncultured bacterium. RNAcentral's name for it is "bacterial SSU rRNA". It matches the Rfam family "Bacterial small subunit ribosomal RNA", at positions 355 to 774 of the family's 1533-position model. The record is from RNAcentral.
UGGGGAAUUUUGGACAAUGGGCGCAAGCCUGAUCCAGCCAUGCCGCGUGCAGGAUGAAGGCCUUCGGGUUGUAAACUGCUUUUGUACGGAACGAAAAGACUCCUUCUAAUAAAGGGGGUCCAUGACGGUACCGUAAGAAUAAGCACCGGCUAACUACGUGCCAGCAGCCGCGGUAAUACGUAGGGUGCAAGCGUUAAUCGGAAUUACUGGGCGUAAAGCGUGCGCAGGCGGUUAUGCAAGACAGAGGUGAAAUCCCCGGGCUCAACCUGGGAACUGCCUUUGUGACUGCAUAGCUAGAGUACGGUAGAGGGGGGUGGAAUUCCACGUGUAGCAGUGAAAUGCGUAGAGAUGUGGAGGAACACCGAUGGCGAAGGCAGCCCCCUGGGCCAAUACUGACGCUCAUGCACGAAAGCGUGGGGAGCAAACA